This 389-nucleotide long non-coding RNA is filed under the name Jatropha curcas. RNAcentral's name for it is "long non-coding RNA (JCUR_LNC002426)". The record is from RNAcentral. Lineage: Eukaryota; Viridiplantae; Streptophyta; Magnoliopsida; Malpighiales; Euphorbiaceae.
CGGUUGGCUGCAUUGGAGUAUGAUGCGGCGCUUUUCGCUAGGGUUUUAAGGUAGAGAGUGGUGAUUUCUGUUAGGGCUUUGAAAGCUGAAAUUUCUGUGGAUUUGAAACCAACCGAUCGGCAGAUUUGUGCGACUGCAAGUUCGGUAAGUUUGAAUUCGAAAUCUUUUGGUUGUUCUGUGAUUUGAGACUGGUUUUCUGCUUUCUUCUUUUUUGAUUUCGGUUUCAUGGCUUUGAUUGUAGAGGUAAAAGAUGAUGAUGCUGGCUAUGGAGAUUGCUCUAAAACCCUAGCUAUGGCUGCUUAAUCCGCUGCUGGGCUUUUAAUGGUACCUAUUUUAAUUUUGCAGUUCAAUGUGGAGUUUUUUGGAAUUUUAACAUAAUUGCCUCGUAA